Molecule: ribosomal RNA, 492 nt
Filed under: uncultured bacterium
Lineage: Bacteria
Description: partial 16S ribosomal RNA
Rfam family: Bacterial small subunit ribosomal RNA
Source: RNAcentral
AGUGAACGCUGGCGGUAGGCCUAACACAUGCAAGUCGAACGGCAGCACAGUAAGAGCUUGCUCUUACGGGUGGCGAGUGGCGGACGGGUGAGGAAUAAAUCGGAAUCUACUUUUUCGUGGGGGAUAACGUAGGGAAACUUACGCUAAUACCGCAUACGACCUACGGGUGAAAGCAGGGGAUCUUCGUACCUUGCGCGAUUGAAUGAGCCGAUGUCGGAUUAGCUAGUUGGCGGGGUAAAGGCCCACCAAGGCGACGAUCCGUAGCUGGUCUGAGAGGAUGAUCAGCCACACUGGAACUGAGACACGGUCCAGACUCCUACGGGAGGCAGCAGUGGGGAAUAUUGGACAAUGGGCGCAAGCCUGAUCCAGCCAUACCGCGUGGGUGAAGAAGGCCUUCGGGUUGUAAAGCCCUUUUGUUGGGAAAGAAAAGCAGCAGGUUAAUACCCCGCUGUCCUGACGGUACCCAAAGAAUAAGCACCGGCUAACUUCGUG